RNAcentral lists this ribosomal RNA (237 nucleotides) under Bacillus cereus group sp. N14. RNAcentral describes it as "partial 23S ribosomal RNA". It matches the Rfam family "Bacterial large subunit ribosomal RNA", at positions 664 to 900 of the family's 2925-position model. The record is from RNAcentral. Lineage: Bacteria; Bacillati; Bacillota; Bacilli; Caryophanales; Bacillaceae.
CGCCGCUGCGAAAGCGAGUCUGAUUAGGGCGGGUAGGACGUGGUCGUAGACCCGAACCCCGGGGAUCUACCCAUCGCCAGGGUGAAGUUCAGGUCACACUGAAUGGAGGCCCGAACCCCCGCACGUUGAAACGUGCGGGGAUGAGGUGUGGGUAGCGGAGAAAUUCCAAUCGCACCGGGAGCGAGCUGGGUCUCCCCGAAGUAGCUUUAGGGCUUGCCUUCAGUGUAGGCGUCUGGG